RNAcentral lists this ribosomal RNA (499 nucleotides) under uncultured bacterium. RNAcentral describes it as "partial 16S ribosomal RNA". It matches the Rfam family "Bacterial small subunit ribosomal RNA", at positions 899 to 1397 of the family's 1533-position model. The record is from RNAcentral.
ACUCAAAUGAAUUGACGGGGGCCCGCACAAGCAGUGGAGCAUGUGGUUUAAUUCGAUGCAACGCGAAGAACCUUACCUGGGCUUGAAAGGCAAGAUUAUAAUUCCUGAAAGGGAGUUACCCGCAAGGGGUCUUGUACAGGUGCUGCAUGGCUGUCGUCAGCUCGUGCCGUGAGGUGUUAGGUUAAGUCCUGCAACGAGCGCAACCCCUACACUUAGUUGCCAUCAGGUAAUGCUGGGCACUCUAAGUGGACUGCCUACGCAAGUAGCGAGGAAGGUGGGGAUGACGUCAAGUCCUCAUGGCCCUUACGCCCAGGGCCACACACGUGCUACAAUGGCCACUACAAAGGGUUGCCAAGGCGCAAGCCGGAGCUAAUCCCAAAAAAGUGGUCUCAGUUCAGAUUGUGGGCUGCAACUCGCCCGCAUGAAGCUGGAAUUGCUAGUAAUCGCAGAUCAGCACGCUGCGGUGAAUACGUUCCCGGGCCUUGCACACACCGCCCGU